This 409-nucleotide ribosomal RNA is filed under the name bacterium. Its description in RNAcentral is "partial 16S ribosomal RNA". It matches the Rfam family "Bacterial small subunit ribosomal RNA", at positions 355 to 776 of the family's 1533-position model. The record is from RNAcentral.
UGGGGAAUAUUGCACAAUGGGGGAAACCCUGAUGCAGCAACGCCGCGUGCGGGAUGACGGCCUUAGGGUUGUAAACCGCUUUCAGCCAUGACGAAGCUUUUGUGACGGUAGUGGCAGAAGAAGCACCGGCUAACUACGUGCCAGCAGCCGCGGUGAUACGUAGGGUGCGAGCGUUGUCCGGAAUUAUUGGGCGUAAAGAGCUUGUAGGCGGUUUGUCGCGUCGAAAGUGUAAACUCAGUGCUUAACGCUGAGCCUGCUUUCGAUACGGGCUGACUAGAGGAAGGUAGGGGAGAAUGGAAUUCCCGGUGGAGCGGUGGAAUGCGCAGAUAUCGGGAGGAACACCAGUGGCGAAGGCGGUUCUCUGGACCUUUCCUGACGCUGAGAAGCGAAAGCGUGGGUAGCAAACAGG